AGCAAAUAGAAAGAGUGAGAGGGAUCAUCCUCCUAUCAUUUAUGCAUUAGUUAAGGCAUAUAAGGAUAAGUCGAUUCAAUGACCUAAACUACUUCUAUUUACUUUAUGGGUUGAUAGAACUACUCACAGUACUAUCACUAAUUAUAUGCCCAUGGAGUUAAUAUUAGAACACAAACCUGUGAUACUAGUUGAAGAAACCUAUCUUACAUGGAUGUUUUUAUUUUAGAAAGAUGAU
This 235-nucleotide long non-coding RNA is filed under the name Physcomitrium patens. RNAcentral's name for it is "long non-coding RNA (PPAT_LNC012706)". The record is from RNAcentral. Lineage: Eukaryota; Viridiplantae; Streptophyta; Bryopsida; Funariales; Funariaceae.